GAGAUUUAGUCCAUUAUCUUCAUGGUAGCAUGCAGGCAGAUGUGGUGCUGGAGAAGGAGCUGAGAGUUCUACAUCUUGAUCCACAGGGAGCAGAAUCAAUUGUGUCCUACACUGGGUGCAGUAGAAUCAGAAUCAGCUGUGUCCUACACUGGGCGUCUCUUGAGCAUAGCAUAGCAUUCCUCAAAGCCCACCUCCACAGUAACACACUUCCUCCAACAAGGAUAUAUCUAUUCCAACAAGGCCACACCUCCUAAUAGUACCACUCCCUUUGGGCCAAGUGUUCAAACACCUGAGUUUAUGGGGGCCAUACCUAUUCAAACCACCACACUAGCUAUUGUGAAUAGAGUGGCAGUGAACACUACUGAGCAAGCAUCAUGGAACAGGAUGUUUUUGGACAUGUGCAAAGGAGUAUUAUAGUUGUGUAAUAUGUUAGACUUAUUCCUAGAUUAGUGAGAAUUCUUAAAACUCUUUCCAAUGUGGCUCUACCAGUUUUGAAUCCCCCAACAGUGAAUGAGGGUUCCCUUUUCUCAAAUUACUCAACAGUAUUUGUUGGUGGUUGUUUUGUUGAUCUUAGCCAUUCUGAGUAGUGUAAGAUGAAAUCUUAGAGUUGUAAUUUGAAUUCCUCUAAUUGCUAAGAUUAUGAACAUUUUACAGCCAUUUUUAUUUCUUUUGAGAAUUCUGUUCAGGUCCAUAGUCUAUUUUAAUUGGUCAUUUGUUUUCAUAACUCUUUAUUUUUAAGUUCUUUGUAUAUUUGGGAUAUUAAUCCUCUGUCAGAUGUCUCUCUGGCCAAGAUUCUCGCCUACUCUGUGAGUUUCUUCUUCACCCAAUUGGUUGUUCUCAUGGCUGUACAGAACCUCUUUAGUUUUAUGAGGUGCCACUUGUCAGUUGGCCUUAUUUCUGGGCAAAGUGAGUCCUUUUCAGAAAGUCAUUUCUUACACCUGUCUCAUGCAGGAUACUUGCCAAAUUUUCCUCUCUAAGUUUCAGUAUUUUGGGUUUCACAUUGAGUUCUUUGGUUCACUUGGAGCUCUUUUUUCUUUGAGCUGGGUGAUUUCAACGAGUCUAGUUUCACUCUUCUACAGGUUUUCCCAGCACCAUUUGUUGAAGAUGCUGCCUUUUGUCCAGUGUGUGUUUUGGCAUCUUUGUUGGAAUGGAGAUGUGACAGCUGUGUAGGGGAUUACUGAAUUUGCUCCCUGACAUGAACAAAGAAUUGAAUGACUAGGAAAGACAGAAGACAAAGCCACCGAGAAGGAGAAAACAGCAGCUUUAUCCUGUCAGGAUGGCAGAAGCCUAAGGCUAGAAGUCCACUAAACCAAGGCUGAAUUGGGUACUUUAUAGGGCCCUUGGUUCCUCUUCUUUCCCCUACUGGUCCUGUCUAGAUACCUGCCAUUUCCUCACAGAGUUGUCUGGGAACAAAAAGCAACCAUCUUAUAGAGGCUGCUUUUGUUUUCCUUGUUUACCUAUGUCCCUCUAACUUUGCUUAAUAUCCUGUGGUGGUUUGAAUAAGAAUGGCCUCCAUAAGCUCAUAUAUUUGAAUGCUUAAUCACCAGGGAGUGACACUCUUCAAAAGGAUUAUAAGGAUUAGGAAGUGUGGCCUUGUUCAAGGAAGUGUGUCACCAGGGGUGGGCAUUGAGGUUUCAAAGGCCCAUGCCAGGCCCAGUGUCCCUCUUUCUGCCUACAGAUAAGGAUAUUGCUCUCAGGUACUGCUCCAGUGCCUCUCUGCAUGCUGUCGUGUUCCCUGCCAUGGUGAUAAUGGAUUAAACCUCUGAAACAAUAAGCAAGCUCCCAAUUAAAUGCUUUCUCUUGUAAGAGUUGCCUUGGUCAUGGUGUCUCUUCAUAGCAAUAGAACAGUGACUAAGACAUACCCCCUCUCAGGGAUUGAUACUGACUGCUGUUGGAGGAGUGGGUGUUGACUGCUUUACUUACUUUCUGCUCAGAGGAAGUGGAAUCUAGAGGUGUCAGUUCAAGUGAGGGGUGGUCCAGAGUGCUGUGGCCAGAUUCUAGUGGGCAGUGUAUCAGGGGCUCCAUCUACAGGACCUUCUGUAGUAGGUAUGUGGUGUAAAUAGUUUGAGUGAAGUUAUGUCACUUGGGGUACAUACUAAUGCUUCCUCGAAGAGCCAUAGACUAUCUAACAAUACCCCCACCCCCCAAGUACCAAGCCUGAGAAACUUCCUUUCCUGUUGUUGGUCAGGGGAGUCCAAGAGACUCCCAAAACAAUAUAGGCUAUUGCUAUUGCCUUUGCUCCCAGAAGUUGAAGAUAAAUCCCUAGUGUUGAUGACAUCUUGUUCUUCAGACACAGGACUUGGAGGAUUUGAGCUGAACCUGACCUGAAAGCAUCUUCCCUGAGGACUAGCUUUCAUAAUAAUGGAAGGUGCUAUGCAAGCUGCUGAAAGAAGGAAGCAGUCAAUAGUCCUACCAGUCUGUGAGGCCUGUGACAAAAACAUGACCAGCAUUGUUAAGGUAUCUAAGUGCAGUGGUGACACUCACAUUCUGGUGGCAACCAGCUGUUGUCUAAUUGGACUUCAAGCCCUGCUAAACAGUGGAGAAAUCAUGUCUUGGACUGUAAACCCAGCCAACUACCUGUUGCUAAUGAGGUCAUGGAUCUUCAAGGAGAACCUGUUGAUGCCAUGUCUGGUAACAGUAAUUCACCUAACGGCAUUCUAAAUAUUUGCCCUUAUACCCACAGAUAAAUGUAGCUCUCAUCUCUCAUCAAAGAAGUCUCUCUUUGCAAAAGACCGAGACAAUUACAGAAAACUGCAACUGACGAAGAUGCAGAGAACAACUGAGUGUAGGAUGCCCAACCCAAAUUGGUGCAUCUGCCACACAACCCCCAUCUCUGAAGUUCAUGGACCAUCAUAGAGGGCAUGGAAAGAUUUCAAGAGCCAGAGGACCACGAAGUUUGCUGUGGGAUUGUGUCUACUAGAAAUGACAGGGAAUGAUACCCAUGAUACCUCAAAAAUAUGGCUGCCAAUGGACCUGAAUAAUGACCACACCAAUAGGCAUGCUUACUCUGAAGGGGAAAUCUCAUAGGACCCCUAGACAAAGAACUACAGGCAACUAAUGAUUACUGAAAAAGGGAUAAUUAGUCUUCCCCAAGGAAUGAGCCUCUAAAUUUGUUAUCCACAAGGGAUCAACCCUGAAAACCAUAUACAUACAAGUAACAGUAAAUAGACUCAGAAGAUGGUAUUUAUAUAUUUAUGUAUAUGAAAGAAUAAUAAUAAAAAGAGGCCAUGAAUUUGAGAGAGAGUUAGGGGCAGACAUGAGAAAGACUAGAGAGAGGAGGAAGAAAUGAUAUAUUUUAGAUUUUUUAAAAUUGUAAAAGAAAAGAAAAGAAAAGAAAAGAGCAUGGCAGAGAGAGAUGAAGCUCAACUCAUGACCCUUAUCUCUUGCAUAACUUUCUGGUCUUCCUUAAUGGUGAUUCUAUCCGGGAGUUAAAUAGUCCUUUUUUAUAUGCCUACAUAUCUAGAACUUGUGUAGUUAUUGAUGUCUAUAAACAUACAAAUUUGUAUGUGUGAACUUUAUCUAAAGGAACUAAGCAGGACAAAUGAAACAGAAUUCAGAAAAAAAUAUCUUAAGCAAUUUCAGUGAUUGAACUGCCUCUUUUCUUUCCAUCCUUCCCCCUUCCUUCCUUCCUCUCUUUUCCUCUGUUCAUUCAGCUCUUUCCCCCAGUCUCAAUCCCUCGCUGCCUUUCUCUUCUUAGUGAUGUGAAGAUAGUUGUGUGGUUCACCAGUUUUCUUCAUUAGUAUCCUCUUGCCUCAAAGAUCUCUUGGGCCAAUGGAAUACUUUUAUGCCAAAUCCCUGUGACUUAAGGAAACUCACUAGCGGCAGUGUAGAGGUUUGCUGAAAUGUUUGCAUUUGGUGAAUAUCCUGGCAUGUACUCAAGAGGGACUGGCUAGCCUUGGACAAGAUCCUGUUGCAUUUUCCCAGGGAUCAGGUGUGCAUCCUGACUGUCUCUUGAGAGCAUGUUGGAAUCAGGAAAGGUAUGAGCAUCAGUCUCUGCAAGGCUCAAAAUACCUCAUGGAGAGAGUGCCUACAGAAAGCAGAUGUGCUCUGCAGUGGCUGCUCACUGUUGCUCUCCUUGUCAAAAUGGACAUAGUAAUUGGAGAUGGGGUCCUGGCUCUUGAGUGGGGUAUGUUCAUAUGCUUGAGGUGAGCAAGGACAUGUCUUUGAUCUACUAUACAAUAGUCCAUCGAGCAGCAUGUGGCAGGUGAGAAGGUCGAGGUCAGUGCUUGGCUUUGUUGAGCUGUGCAGCUGUCCUUGUCCCAUAUGUGGGAGCAGAGUCGGGUCACUAUGGGGAAGCACGUGUCCAGAAAAUAGGGUUUGCUGACCUAAUUGUGGGCAGUUGAAAGUGCUGCAUUAUUGUUGAAAUGAACGGUGACUUUCUCUCUGAGUUCAGCCCUCUCCUCCACAUUAUGCUGCUGCUUUUGCUGCUGUAACAGCAGUGGUGAAGAAAGAGGUAAUGUUUGGCCUUCCAGUGGGACAGAUUGGGAGCAGUAGUGGUACGGCAAUCGAAAACAUUAGAAGACGCUUUCUGAGGGCAAUUUUAGGUUAUUCUUAAAGAUACUCCCUAACAGAUUCAUGGUAUACGUUCCUAUUGGACUUCUUUUGCUGCUGUAAUUAAGAAAAAUGUCUAGCCACAGGUAUACAAUGAUUUCAAACAGAACCCCUUUUGAUAGUACCAAACCAGAGUCAAAAAUGUCCUUCCUUCACCCGGAGCUUCUCUCUCCCCUUUAGUGUGUCUCCCCCCCCCCCCCCCCCCCCCCAGAGUAACAUGGCAUCAAACAGAUGGUUCCUUGGCAUCCAGGGAUUUUGUGCUCUGUUUUAUAUGUGUGCCCUGACUUCCCUAGAUGAUGGAGUACACGCUGUGAAAGAAGUAAGCUGUUUCCUCCCAGGUCGCUUCUGGUCGAGUGUUUUCUCACAGCAGUGCAGACCCUGAGAUUCCCGGGUGAAUCCAGAAGAGCGCCCCUGUGAGUUUGGGCUGGCACACACAGCUUCUGUCAGUUCGUGAGUGUGGUCACCGGGGCAUGGCCAGAAGACAGCACUUUCUAAGUGGCAGCGGUCACGACGGAGAUGCAAGAUUGCUCAGAGGGCUGAGAGUGAGAGACUUUGCUCUCUUUCAGAGAGGUGCUGAGAUGCAGCUUGGGGAGUAGAAUCGGUAACCAAUGAUGGUGGUCCCGGUGAGAAUGAUCCUGCCUCCAGGUUCCUGCCCUGACUUCCCUAGAUGAUGGACUACACGCUGUGAAAGAACAGACAGAGACUAUUACAGAAAACAACGACCCAUCAAACUGCAGAGUUCGGGAGCCUGGUUCCAAUGGAUACAUCUACAAAGCAACUACAUCUAAGGCUCUGGGAAUAUUUCGGGAGAGGGGGCAGAAUGAUUCUAGGAACUAGAGAUUCAGGGAACAAGCUGUGAGGCUGUCUCCUAGUAAUGCCAGAAGGUACACAUUAUGUCUCAGCAAUGUGACUGCCCAAACAUGAGCUGAGCAAGGACACCAAUAGACAUGUCUGAUUGGACAGGGGCAAGCGGAACUAGGCCUCAGCCCUAGAAAAGCAAACAGGUAACUAAGGAAUACUGAGAGCUGGAGAAAGAGUCUUCCCCAGAGAAAAGUAGCAAUUGUUAAUCCUGUACCAAAUGAUCAGUCCUGGAAACAUACAUACAAGUAGCAUGAUACAGACUGAGCAGGUUGUAUUUAAAAAUAUAUAUGUAUAUACAUGAACACAUACACAGAUGCUUGAAGAAACAGUUAAUGAAAAACGCCAUUUGAAAGAUCAGGGAGGACUAUAUGUGAAUCUUUGGAGGGAGGAAAGGAAGGAAAGAUGUGAUUACAAUAGCAAAAAAAUUACAUUUUUUAGUCACUUUCUCAAUUCAGUAAGUCUCUGCAUGGCUGUUGCCUGUGUCCUAAGUUUUGGUUGACCUUUUCCCACAACCCCAUUGCCCGUAGCACCAUCCCCGUUUAAACCUUUCUAGCCCCAGAGUCCCCCCAACUCCACGUUCAUGUCACAUGCACUGUCCCUCCCCUCAAGACCUCCUCUCAUGGCUCCUUUCCUGUCCCCUGACUUCUGCAGACACUAACUCCUAUUUAAACACAGAAAUGGAAAACUAAGACGCUAGGGUCCACAUGCCAGACAACAUAGGCGGCUUCUGUGGCUAUUUUGACAGAAAUGCCAAAAGCAUACACUGGAGAACAGGCAGCCUUCCUCGUUGACACAUAGUCCUGGAAAACUAGAUAUACACGUGUAGAAGACUAAACCUGCAUCCCUAUCUUCCAUCCUGAAGAAAAAUCAGUUGCAUCCCUAUCUUCCAUCCUGAAGAAAAAUCAGUUCCAACUGGAUCAAAGUCCUUCAUAUGAGACCUGAAACUCUGAACAUGCCAGAGGGAAAUAUAGGGAAAAUUCCUCAAGAGAAGGGUAUGUAUAGCCAAGAACCUUCUUAAAAGGUUCAGUAGCUCAGGAAAUGGGCUCCAUAUUUGGCAGAUGGAAUCAUGAGGCAUUAACAACAUUCUCCACAGCAAAAGCCAGCAAAUUGCUGGAGUGAAGAGACAGCAUUCAGAAUGGGUAAAAAAUAUUUGCUACAUAUCCAUCAGGCAGAAAAUUAAUGAAUAAAUGGAUUCCAACAACUAUAAGAGAACCAAACAAGUCAAAAAUCCGUGAUUAAAACAAACACAUUUCUCAUGCAUACUAUAUGACAUGCAUGUAAACAAGAGGCAGACUGUGAUAAGAAUAAGGAGACUAGUAGGUGGGAAGAAUGUAAUGAGGAGAAAAAAGAGUGUAUGAGGUUGAAAAUGGCUAAGGAACACUUUGAACAUAAAGGGUAUUAGACCCAUUGCUAUUUGCAAUGUGUGUACACCAUUUAAAAAUGGGUGAAUGGGUCUGGCCCACCUCCUGAGGCCAUGCUACAGCUGUGCCAUACUGCUCUGGGGGGCCUGCACAGCCAGCUGGGGCCAUGGUGACCUCCGGGGACCGGCUGCUGCAGAGGGCCAUGUCUGGGUCCAUUCUGCUGCUGCAGCCAGUCUGUGUUAUGUCCAAUGGUGACCUCCGAGGCCAGGCUGCUGCAGAGGGCCAUGUCUGGGUCCAUUCUGCUGCUGCAGCCAGUCUGUGUUAAAGUCCAUGGCCCAUUUCACCCCCAAAGGUGGCACCGAUGCCCAGGUGUGGGCUCCUAGCUGUGGCUAUGUUGGUGCCCGAGGCCCAUGCCACUGCUGGGGCCAUGACGAUCUGGGUGUCCUGAGCUACAACACAGGGUCAUGGUAAAGUCUGGGCCUGAGCUGCUGCCAAGGGCCAUGUCUGGAUCUGGGGUCCUGCAGCAGCCAGGGUCUAAGUUGAUGCCCAUGGAUGGCUUCAGUUGCCACAGAAGUCCAUACAGAUUCCCAGGGUCCAAGCCACCACCUGACGUCAUGUAGGUCUCUGAGGCCCAUGCUGCAGAUGGGGCCAUACAGAUCUUAGUGGGCUGGCCUGCUACCCAGUGCCCUGGUGACAACUGGUUAGGGCUUCAGCUGAGGGCCAUGUCUGGGUCGGUGGUCUUAAGGCGGCCAGUUGCUGUGCUGAUGUCCCUGGCUCCUGUUACCAUCAAAGGUCAUGCAGAUGCCAGGAGUCUGGGCCACCACCUAGGGCCUUAUUGGUGUUGAAGGGCCACACUGCCACUGGGGCCAUGAUGAUCUGAGUGGCCUGGGCUGCUCCCUGAGGCCAUGGUGACAUCUAGGCCCCUCUGCUGCUGAGUCCCAUGUCUGGGUUCCUGAGUCUAAAACAGCCGGGGGUCUGUGUUGAAGUCCCUGGCCUGUGUUGCCACCAAAGGUUGGAGUCUGAGCCACAAAGCUGUGGGCUGGAUGGUGUCCGAGGACCGUGACACUGCAGGAGCCAUGCUAUCUAAGCAGCCUGUGCUGCCAACCAGGGCCAUGAUGUUGUCUAGGUCUGAGCUGCUGAGGGCCCUGUCUGGCUUCGGGGUCCUGCUGCAGCUGGGAUCUGUUGAUAUCUGGGGCCUGUGUUUCCACAGGGGCCAUAUGAGAACCAUGCAUGAUGAAAGCCAAGGGUCAGGCUGAGCCAGCCCUGCCCUAAGCUGGCCCUGGCCCUCGCUGGACACUGCAGCAAAGAGCUGGCCCCAGCACUUGGGAGAGAUGGCCCUACCGCUCACCAUGGGUGUGGGAAAGCUGGCCCUGAUGGCAUGGGCAUGAGAGCGGGCUCUGCUGCACACCUGAAUGGGGCGGCCCCAGUGGCCAGGUCUGACUAGUUCAACUACCACCCAGGCCCACAUCCAGGGUUUGGGGUUGGCUCACCCUAACAUCUGCCCCAUCUAUGACCUGCCAGAGCAUGUGAAGGGACGGGUCCUGUGGAACAUUAAUCACAGCGUCUCCAUGACUGGGGGCGCCCUCCUGAAAACUAAGAGGCAUUGCAGAGAGGGUCUAGUGAAGAAUGUGUACCAGAAACCGGAAGUCUUGAACGAACCAGACCAUUGCAAUGAACAUUGUCAAAUAAAGCUGAUAGGACCACAGGGUAUACUGUGUGACACUGAGGCUCCCAUUGCCACCAAGACACAUGAAGAGGUGUUGGAGAGGCAGAGAAUACGGAGGAGCAAAGUGCUUUUAUUUAUUUAUUUAAUCUGUCCAUGGAUGUUAACAAAAUGGCUGGCCUCCCAUGGAUAUCAUCUUGUAGUAAGACAACACCUUGCCUUGUAUUAAGGCUGUGAAAGGCAGUCCAGUGUGAGGAGUAGGGUCCCCCAAGUCUGCAAGAGUCAGGGACAGCUCCUGCUCCACUGUUAGUCCACAAGAACACGGAGGUACACAACUGUUGCAUAUAUACAGAGGGCCUAGGUCAGUCCCAUGCAGGCUCCCUGGUUGUUGCUUAAGUCUCUGUGAGCUGCUGUGAGCCAGGUGAGUUGAUUCUGUGGGUUUUCUCAUGGUGUCCUUGACCUCUGUGCCCCCUACAAUCCUUCCCUGCUCUGUUCAGCAGGAUUCCCUGAGCUCAGCCUGAUGUUUGGCUGUGGGUCUCUGGGUCUGCUUCCACCAGGUACUGGAUGAAGCCCCUCUGAUGACUAUUGACUAGGCACCAAUCUAUGAGUGUAGCAGACUAUCCUUAGGCAGUGUUACAUUGACAUUUUUUUUUCCACACACGUCUGGUUCUAUCCUAGGUCUCUGGGCU
This is a long non-coding RNA of Peromyscus maniculatus bairdii (prairie deer mouse), 9125 nucleotides long. RefSeq lists it as uncharacterized. The record is from RefSeq and is a predicted model, not a curated record. NCBI's taxonomy places the organism in Eukaryota, Metazoa, Chordata, Mammalia, Rodentia, Cricetidae.